GACGAACGCUGGCGGCGUGCCUAAUACAUGCAAGUCGAACGCUUCUUUCCUCCCGAGUGCUUGCACUCAAUUGGAAAGAGGAGUGGCGGACGGGUGAGUAACACGUGUGUAACCUACCCAUCAGAGGGGGAUAACACUUGGAAACAGGUGCUAAUACCGCAUAACAGUUUAUGCCGCAUGGCAUAAGAGUGAAAGGCGCUUUCGGGUGUCGUUGAUGGAUGGACCCGCGGUGCAUUAGCUAGUUGGUGAGGUAACGGCUCACCAAGGCCACGAUGCAUAGCCGACCUGAGAGGGUGAUCGGCCACACUGGGACUGAGACACGGCCCAGACUCCUACGGGAGGCAGCAGUAGGGAAUCUUCGGCAAUGGACGAAAGUCUGACCGAGCAACGCCGCGUGAGUGAAGAAGGUUUUCGGAUCGUAUAACUCUGUUGUUAGAGAAGAACAAGGACGUUAGUAACUGAACGUCCCCUGACGGUAUCUAACCAGAAAGCCACGGCUAACUACGUG
RNAcentral lists this ribosomal RNA (508 nucleotides) under uncultured bacterium. RNAcentral describes it as "partial 16S ribosomal RNA". It matches the Rfam family "Bacterial small subunit ribosomal RNA", at positions 28 to 507 of the family's 1533-position model. The record is from RNAcentral.